Molecule: long non-coding RNA, 1305 nt
Filed under: Triticum aestivum (bread wheat)
Lineage: Eukaryota; Viridiplantae; Streptophyta; Magnoliopsida; Poales; Poaceae
Description: long non-coding RNA (TAES_LNC019760)
Source: RNAcentral
GCACGGGUAAGAGGAGGGUGUGGUAAUUAUACUUGCAGAAUGGGCAUUGUGUCAUUCGAAAUUGCUAAAACUGCAAAAAGAGUAACAAAUAUAGAGAUGUUACUACUCGAUUUUUCAAGCGGUCAAACUUUGUAAACAUUGGUCAUCAUACAUCAAAUAUAACUAUAAUAGGGUAAUGAGAAAGGAAAGGGUACACAGGUAUAUUUGUGCAGAAUGGACAUGGCAUAUUCACCUUUAUUCUAUUUUUAUUUAUUUUAAAGUGUUGCUAUUCCGGUUUUGCUAUUGCGUUAAAAAGUAAGCAAAGCUUAUGGCUAGAUUUGAAUUCUCUGCUCAUAAAUAUUGAUUUUGUAGCUAUUGCUCAAUUAAUUGACACAAUGUGGCUACUCGCAAAAAGAAUUAUGUCCACAAUGAUUAGAACACAUGCUUUGAAGAGGACCCUACCAACAUGAUACAUCUAUAAAUAGCAAGACUACUUUGAUAAUCAAAAGGUAGGAUUGUGCCUACAUAAAACCCAUCGGUUCUGAGGUAUGUUUUUAACCCCAUUUUUUCUGACAAAAGGUUGAGCACUUCAUAAAGCUUCUACACUAUCCGCAGUCAUAUAGUGAGCUAUGUGAGUCAACAAAUUACUACAGUGACAUUAUUAUAAUAGUAAAGCAUAUGUUAUUUAUUUAGCAGAAACAAUAUGUCAUACCCUGCAGAAAAAUGUAGUUUGUUUGGUGCAUCUGCUGAAGGCUUGAUAUCAUAUAUGCCACUGGAGGAGCAAAAGGACAAAGCAUCAGCAGCUGCAAUACGUAAUACAAAAGAAAAGAGCACUCAAUUUAAUGACCAUACAAUAAUACAUAUAUACGAUCUAUAUAAGAAACAAACCAACUUUAAUCUGGAACACAAAAGGCCACUUAGUUUCAGAUAAGAUUCUCUUAACAAAAUAACCCAACCGUAACAUGCAACAGAAAAUAGCACAACCUCAUCUUUAUAUAAGACGUGGAAACAACCACUGCAGACCACGCAUAGCUAACCCGAGGCUAAUGUGAGGCGUAGAACAUACGGCAACACACAUGCAUUUCAUCGAGGAGCACACGCGCAUUUCGUCAAACACCUCACAGACAAGCACCCAUAGAGAAGUAGAGGAGCCGUGCACUAACCUCGACGGCAAGGACAGAACGACCCAAGCUCCUACACCAGAGACAAGACGAAGGCAAGGAAACUGCACACGAAGGGAAGAAACGGAAGAGGGCGAGAUCAGCAAACCGAAGGAAGAAUAGAAGGGAAGAACACGAGAAGAGCAGGAGGAACCUCAACCGUCAG